Molecule: non-coding RNA, 24 nt
Filed under: Arabidopsis thaliana (thale cress)
Lineage: Eukaryota; Viridiplantae; Streptophyta; Magnoliopsida; Brassicales; Brassicaceae
Source: RNAcentral
AGGGCAAAACUGUGUCAAAAAGUA